This 12299-nucleotide long non-coding RNA is filed under the name Vitis vinifera (wine grape). RNAcentral's name for it is "long non-coding RNA (VVIN_LNC000377)". The record is from RNAcentral. Lineage: Eukaryota; Viridiplantae; Streptophyta; Magnoliopsida; Vitales; Vitaceae.
UUGUGGUGGCCGCCUCCAAUGCCAAGCCUAUGGUACACCCCCUAACACCUUGGCCGAAUUCGCACUUAACCAAUUCAACAACAUGGACUUCUUCGAUAUAUCUUUGGUUGAUGGAUUUAAUGUGCCCAUGGCUCUUAAUUCUACUUCCAAUGGGUGCACCCGUGGCAUCCAAUGCAGCGCCGACAUAGUCGGACAGUGCCCUGAUGAGCUCCGAGCUCCCGGUGGUUGCAACAAUCCAUGCACUGUUUUCAGGACCGAUGAAUAUUGUUGUUAUUCUGGGAACUGUGGCCCUACAACUUACUCCAAGUUUUUCAAGGAUAGGUGUCCGGUGGCUUAUAGCAACCCUAAUGAUGAUCAAACAAGCACCUUUACAUGCCCUGGUGGUACUAACUAUGAUGUUAUCUUCUGCCCAUGAUGCCUCUACUAGUCCUGUUAGACGAUUUGGUACCAUCUUGGGAUCCAAAUGUCUAGAAGAAUAAAUUUGAGCACAUGUCCAUGUCCAUAGUCAUGUAAUAAGAUUUCUACCAUCAUAGAAAUCGAAUGAUUUUCAGAGGGGUUAGAAGCUUUGAAUAAUGUUUAAAUGUGCUUUACUUAUAAAAGUUUAGAACUAAUUCUUCAUAAAAAUAAUUUUGUCCAAGUGUUAUUGUUUAAGAGUUUAUUUGAUAUUGAAUUAUGAAAGUAUUUUGAAUUAUUUUAACAUUUAAAAAAUAAUUUUUCUUUAAAUAUUAAAAAAUUUAAAAAUGCUUCUUAUAAUUAUUAUCAAAUAAACUCUAAAUACUAUAUAUUAAAAACAUAAUUACUAGAAUGACCUCUAAAUGAAUUCAUAUUUUAAGUACACCGAGAAUGAUAGAAUUCAGUAAUGGUGUUUUAAAUUAAAUUGGUAAAUAUUUUGGGAUUUUCCAUUUGAAUAAUUUUUAGAAGUGAAUAAAUUAUUUUUCAGCUCUAACAUAAACAAAUCCUGUUAUUGUGGUGUGGAAAAACCUUUGCUCAAGAGUCAAGAGCGGUGGUGGAGGCUUGAGUUACGUACCCAAGUUGAAUUUUUGUAAAAGGAUGUGGAGGAGUAGAGUACAAGGAAAAUUGAUUUGCGGACAAGACCAGUUAGUUAGUGAAGCUUGAUUAAAGUCGAAGUUUUGGUGUUUUCUCCCAAGACUUCCUUUGUAGUGGUCCAAAAAAUUGGUAAGGAAAUAUGACAGACAUCGAAAGAGGAUUUGGCUAAAAGUCAAUAACUAUUUGGAGCUAUGUUCCCUUCUCGGGGCGAUGGCGUUUGCUAGUAAUCUUUGACUCGCUCUUCCCCGUAGCUUCCAUAGCAGUCCAAACCGGUUGCUUGUUCAAGGAAAACACCGUAUAAAUAAGAGGGAAGUGGCUAAAAGUCUAACUAAUUAAAAUCGUAGUCAUUUAUUGUGUGGAAUAGCGGGACACAUACGUAUUGAAGUUGAACUUGUCCAUCAAUUAAAUCUAAUACAAUUUUCUUUUUCAAUCCAACUAUUACGUAAUAAAUUUUAAAUUUCAAAUAUAUUUGCUUUUAAAAUUUACUCAAACCAAUUUAAUAACUUACAAAUAACUAAUUCAAUAACUUGGACUUCUUUAAUAUAGUAUUGUCCAAGCAUAUAUUUGAUAUGUCUUUAAUUUAUUUUUAAUUGUGCUUCUAAGCUACGUUUGGUUCUCGAAAAAUUUGAGAGAAAAUUUAAAAGAAAAAAAUUACAGAUGAAAAAAAAUAAAAAAUAGUUUAAAUAUAAUAAAUUAUAUUUGAUUUGAUUUUCUAUUUUUUUUUAUAGUGAAACAAAAUAUGAGAAAACCAUUUUUAUUAAUAUUUUUUUUCUUUAGAACACUUUCCAACAUAACUUACCAUUUAUUUUUUUGGUCAUGCAAAAGUUGAUGUAAAAAAUAUAGUUAGUCUCUCUUAUAUCAUUCAUUUGAAAUUGAGUAGAUUAAUGGUGUUUGUUUUUUUGGUUUUUUACUUAAAGCAAUUUAGUUUUAGAAUUUAGGUUGUUUGUUUUUCUACUUUUUCAUGACUUAUUAUAAACUUUUUACUAAAUAGAAAAAGUCAAAAUAUGUAGCUUUUUCUAAGUAGGAAAAAUAACAUAUUGAUUUUUUUUACUUUUUAAUACUUAAUAGAAAUAAAAUACUACAAAAACAAAUAACCUAAUAUUUAACACUAUUAAGCAUUAAGGUUCUAUUUAGAAUUAAGUAAAAAAACAAACAUCAUCUUCACACUAAGUAAUAACCCUAUAUUAGUCCUAAUAAGUAAUAAAAUUCCUCUACUAAUACAUGGUAUGGAUAAAAUAUUUACUAAAUUAACAACAUGAAUGUAAGUAAUUUAGAUAUUAGUAGGAUAUAUUUUUGUCUUAAUUAUUUAAAAAUAUAAACAUAUUUAUAUUAGGUUCUUGCUUUUUAUAAAUAUUAAUUCAACAUUUUUAGUAAUUUUUUUUUUAAAUUUAAUAAUUACAUAACCAAAAGUAAAAAAAAAAAAAAAUCAUUUUAUGAUGAUUUUUUGUCAAUUUUCAAUGAUUUCUUUCUAGUUCUUUGUUUUCAGUAGGUUAUUGAGUUAAUAAAGAAAUAAUGAAAUAUAAUGUGAUUGGGUUUUGGGUAUUUUUUUUUUUUAUAAUUUGUUUAAAAAAAAUUAGAUAAUAAAAAUAUCAUAUAUAUAUAUUUUGUUAUAAAAUUUUUAAAAGGAAAAAAAUUGUUGCUAAAUAUGAUUUUCAAAAACAUUUAUCACAAUUUUAAUUCAAAAAAUUGAAAAAUAAAAGUGUAAUGGAAGAUACUACUAAUGUAGUACAAGCAAUAAAUAUUUUUACCCUUAGUUGUGAAAAAUAUAGAGGAAAGAAAUUUUAUGAUGUCUGUUUCUAGAAGGUUGUAGGAAACCUGUUUGCCACGCCAGCCUAUUAAUAUUUUCUUCUUCGAAAAUUAAGAAAUUAUGGCAUUUUUUUAAAAAAAAAUUAUGCUUAAAAAUAGUUUUUUAUUUAGAAUAUAAAACUUAAAUUUAAAGAAAUUGAGAAUAUAUUCUAAAACUGAAUUAUCUUUUAGAAUAAAUUUAAGGGUUUUUUUUUAUUAUGUUCUAUUAAAUAAUAAUUAUUAAAAAUAUGAAAAUUAUUUUUUUUUAAAAAUAUAUUAUAUAUGUGUAUGUCAACUUUAAGAAAAAUAAAUAAAUAAAUAAAUAUAUAUAUAUAUAUAUAUAUAUAUAUUUUAUGUCUGAGAUUUUAAACAAAAUUUUAUUUAUAAAAAUAAUUAAAAAUUAUGUUUUGCCUAACAUGCCUAUGUUCUAGUCGUCUACGGAGUUGGUUCGGGAUGGCAGUGGAAAAUAUACUUUAGAUAUUUUCUCUUCUCUAUAGUCAGAUGCUUCUGCGUAUUUUAAAUGGUAAAGACCAAAACUCAAUUAUGAUAUUAUCGAAAAUAGACCCAGUCCAAAGUGGUCAUUCAUACUGGCAUAGUUCCAGGAAGGUGAUCAACAUCAGGGCUGUCUCAUUCAAGAAAGGAAAUUUGCACCCACGUUUUCUAGAUACAUUCCUACUGUUCUGAUGAUUCGGUAUGCACGAAUUUAUGCAAAGGUUAGGCAGAUUUCUGAAAAUAAUAAAAAUGGUAAUGAAGUGGACCCUUCUCUCUGUAAAAUAUUUUAAAUAAAAAAUACUUAUUUUUCUAAAAAUAAGUAUUUUCAAUAUGUAAUAUAUGUUUUAAAAAAAAAAAUUAAUUUACAAGCUUAUUUAUUUUUAUUUCUUAAAAAUAUUAUCGGCUUUUGUUGAUAAGAUUUGAGGAAAGAAAAAGGGCCACCUCACAUCGACUCUUCCAUGCCCGCAGGCCCCAACGAAGUCGACCACAAAGAUGACGCUAUCUUUUGGAAUUUUUACAGGGAGGUUUUUUCACAUACACACCAACCCAAGCCCACCUUCACCCUAUAAAAACCCCCACCCGGUUCCUCACAGAUCACCCCACUCCAACCAUCAAGCCUAUAUAUCUUCCGAAACUCAACAAUGGGCCUCUGCAAAAUCCUCUCCAUUUCCUCAUUCCUUCUCACCACCCUAUUCUUCACCUCCAGCUAUGCAGCUACGUUCAACAUCCAAAACCAUUGCUCCUACACGGUUUGGGCUGCGGCAGUCCCAGGCGGGGGCAUGCAGCUUGGCUCAGGCCAAUCCUGGAGCCUCAAUGUGAAUGCCGGCACCACUGGAGGCCGUGUUUGGGCCCGUACCAACUGCAACUUCGAUGCGUCAGGGAAUGGGAAGUGUGAGACCGGGGACUGUGGUGGCCUCCUCCAAUGCACGGCCUAUGGUACACCCCCUAACACCUUAGCCGAAUUCGCACUUAACCAAUACAGCAACUUGGACUUCUUUGAUAUAUCUUUGGUUGAUGGAUUUAAUGUUGCUAUGGCCUUUAAUCCUACUUCCAAUGGGUGCACCCGUGGCAUCAGUUGCACCGCCGACAUCGUGGGAGAGUGCCCCGCUGCGCUAAAGACUACCGGUGGUUGCAACAACCCAUGCACCGUUUUCAAGACCGAUGAAUAUUGUUGCAAUUCUGGGAGCUGUAAUGCUACAACUUACUCCGAGUUUUUCAAGACUAGGUGCCCUGAUGCUUAUAGCUACCCUAAGGACGAUCAGACAAGCACCUUCACAUGCCCUUCCGGGACCAAUUAUGAAGUUAUCUUCUGCCCAUAAAUCUAUUAUUUAAAUCAUAUGCUAGUAUGCCUCUACUGGUCUCAACUAUUAGGAGGCAAUGGUAUCCACCUUGGGUUCCAAAAGCCUAGAGGAAUAAAGUUGAGCCCAUAUUCGUGGUCAUGUAUUAAGAUUUCUACACUAGUCGAAGCAAUGGAUGCCUUUUUUUAUAUAGAUAUAUGCUAUCUUCUUCUUCUAAUCUCUGUGGUCCCUUCCAAGUAACAUUUCAUAUAGAUAUAUGAAUUUUAAUGAUUAUUCUUCUUCAGAAUUCUUUUUUUUUUUUUUUUUGAAAAUGAAAUUAAGCUUAACAUGAACAAAAUUCUGCUAUCAUGGUACGGAGAAAUCUUUGCUUGAGAGCGGUGGUUGAGGAUUGAGUCACCUACCCAAGUCAAAUUUUUGUAACAAUUAGAUGUUCAUCUUUAGAGUACUACAAGGAAAAUUGAUGUGAGGAUAAAGACCAGUUAACGAAGCUUGACUGACGUCAAAAUUUUAUUUUAUUUCCUUUUCUCUAAUCCUACCUUGUAGCGGUCCAAAUUAAUUGUCUUGACAAGGAAAUAUAACACAUAGCCAAGGAGGAUUUGCCUAAAAGCCAUCAUCCUGUUUGAAAACUACCUCCCUUAUUGUGCACAUGACACUUUUUCUAAGGGGAAUAAUCCAACCAUACAUUGGACCAAUAAAAUAAGUAUUUUUGGGAUUUUAUUUUUACCUUCACAAAUUGAGUGCGUAAAGUGCGGGGGAAAAAAACUCAUUCAUGCAUUUCAAUAACACUUGUGAAUUUAUUCCAAAAUUACAUUCAAAGUACACCUAUCAUUUUUUUUUACAUCAACUCUCUCACACCUCCAUUUCACCCGCCAUGUUCAUACGGUUUUUUUAUCUCUCACCAACAUAUUCAUAGUCUCAUGUAUUUUCUUAUAAAACAUCUUUAAUUUCAAUUUUUUUUUCACUCUCUAAUCUCUCCAUAUUUAUUGAUUUUAAUCAUUUUUUAGACACAUUAAACUUAAAAUGAUAAUAUAUAAUAAAUAAUUAAUAAUAAAAAAUUAAAUAAAAACAUAAUAUUUAAUGAACAAAAAUUAAAAUAUUAUCUCACAAAUAAUAUACUUGAUAAUUUUAAAUAUUAAUUAUAAUAAUGUUUAAGAUUUAAAUUUAAAAAUUAUGUUUUUAUUAUUUAGAGGCUUAUGAUAUAAUUUUUUUUAUAUUAAUACUAAAUAAAAGAUUUAUUGAUUUUGUAAAUCUUAUCAUACGUAAAAGUAAAAAAUAUCUUUGUAAUAUUAUUUUAUUAUUUUUAUUUUGAUAUAAAAUUUUUCAUUUGUAAUAUUAUUUUAUUAUUUUUAUUUUGAUAUAAAAUUUUUCAUAUCAAAAUCACAAUAAGUGAUAGUAGUUUUUUUUUUGUUAUGGUUUUAAUUGUGGUUUUAACUUUUUACUUGGUUAAAUUUUUUAAUUUUUUAUCAAGAUAAAAUAUAAAAGAAAAUAUGUUUUUUCAUAAAAAAAAAAUACAUUGUUUUAGGGAAAUUGAGAUACUUAUCUCUUUUAUCAUGAUGCAUAUACUCCUUUUGGAAUUCUCGGGAAGUGUUUUUAAAUUCUCUCCCACCUCGAAAAAGACUUUGAAACUUCAAGUAAGAAAAAUAAAUACAUCCUUUAAGAAAAAUGGAUUUUCUUUGAAUUGGUUGCCUCACAAUAUUUUAAAUGAUAAAGACUAAAAUUCAAUUAUGAUAUUAUCGAAAAUAGUCCCAAUCUAACGACUAGUCAAGAUAUUUGAAGUGGCCAAUCGUAUUGGAAGAAUUCCAGGAAGGUGCUCAACAGGGUUGUCUCAUUCAAAUAAGGAAAUUUGAAAUAAAUUUUCUCAAUACCAUGCACCCACGUUUUCUAGAUACAUUCCUACUGUUCUCAGAAUUGAGUGCUCAUGAAUUUACAUAGAAGUUAGGCAGAUUUCUGGAAAUAAUAAAAAUGAUAAUCACGUAGAACCUUGUCUCUGUAAAUUAUUUUAAAUAAAAAAUACUUAUUUUUCUAAAAAUAAGUAUUUUCAAAAUGUAAUAUAUGUUUUUUUUUUUUUUAAAUAAUAAUAAUUUACAAGCUUUUUUAUUUUUAUUUCUUAAAAAAAUUAUGGGCUUUUGUUGAUAAGAUUUGAGGAAAAACAAAAAGGGCCACACUACAUUGACUCUUCCAUGCCUACAGGCCACAACGAAGUCGACCACAAAGAUGACGCCAUCUUUUGGAAUUUUUACAGGACGGUUUUUCCACAUACACACCAACCCAAGCCCACCUUCACCCUAUAUAAACCCCCACCCAUUUCCUCACAGAUCACCCCACUCCAACCAUCAAGCCUAUCUUCCGAUCCUCAACAAUGGGCCUCUGCAAAAUCCUCUCCAUUUCCUCAUUCCUUCUCACCGCCCUAUUCUUCACCCCCAGCUAUGCAGCCACCUUCAACAUCCAAAACCAUUGCUCCUACACGGUUUGGGCUGCGGCAGUCCCAGGCGGGGGCAUGCAGCUUGGCUCAGGCCAAUCCUGGAGCCUCAAUGUGAAUGCCGGCACCACUGGAGGCCGUGUUUGGGCCCGUACCAACUGCAACUUCGAUGCAUCAGGGAAUGGGAAGUGUGAGACCGGGGACUGUGGUGGCCUCCUCCAAUGCACGGCCUAUGGUACACCCCCUAACACCUUAGCCGAAUUCGCACUUAACCAAUUCAGCAACUUGGACUUCUUUGAUAUAUCUUUGGUUGAUGGAUUUAAUGUGCCUAUGGCCUUUAAUCCUACUUCCAAUGGGUGCACCCGUGGCAUCAGUUGCACCGCCGACAUCGUGGGAGAGUGCCCCGCUGCGCUAAAGACUACCGGUGGUUGCAACAACCCAUGCACCGUUUUCAAGACCGAUGAAUAUUGUUGCAAUUCUGGGAGCUGUAGUGCUACAGAUUACUCAAGGUUUUUCAAGACUAGGUGCCCUGAUGCUUAUAGCUACCCUAAGGACGAUCAGACAAGCACCUUCACAUGCACUGCCGGUACCAAUUAUGAAGUUGUCUUCUGCCCAUAAAUCUAUUAUUUAAAUCAUAUGCUAGUAUGCCUCUACUAGUCUCAACUAUUAGGAGGCAAUGGUUUCCACCUUGGGUUCCAAAAGCCUAGAGGAAUAAAGUUGGGCACAUUUUCGUGGUCAUGUAACAAGAUUUCUACACUAGUAGAAGUAAUGGAUGUUUUUUUUUUUUAUAUAUAUAUAUAUAUAUAUAGAUUUAUGCGAUCUUCUUUCUUUCUAACCUCUAUGGUCCCGUCCAAGUAAUAUUUCAUAUAUAUUUUAUUCUAUAUAAUAUCUGCGGAUAAGAUCGGUUAAUGAAGCUUGACUAAAGUCAAAAUUUUAUUUUAUUUCAUUAUCCUACUUGGAAACUACCUUCCUUACUGGGUACAUGGCAUUUUUUUUUUAAUAAUAUUUGACUCAGGUUUCCGAGAAAACAUUGUAGCAGUCCAAACACGGCGUAAAUUGGGACUUUUCUCAAUAGUAGAGUAAUUUAAAAAAGUUAUUCUUCAAUUACUGUAGUGGAAGAAGUUAUUACAAAUAUAGGGUAGUUUUUGCCAGAUAGGAGAGAGGAGAGAGGAGAGAGGGUGAGAGAGAGGAGAGAGGAAAGAGGAGAUAGGAGAGAGGAGAGAGGAGAGAGGGUGAACGGGUAAAAUUUUUUAAAAAAGGGAACUCGUCUCUUGAAGAGACGAGUUCCAUGAAAAAAAAUAUAUAUAUAAUUUUUAAAAAAUUCUCAAAUUAAAAAAAAAAAAAUUGGAACUAAAGGCUUGACACGAGUUCCCAUGGGAAAAAUAUAUAUUAUUUAUUUAAAAUAUAUUUUUCAUUUAAAAAAAAUCCCAAAAAAAAUAAAAAAUAAAAUUUCUAAAAGGAACUCGUCUCUUUUUUAAAAAAAAUAUAUUUUUUAUUUUAAAAUCCCAAAUUUAAAAAAAAAAAACGCAAUUCCAAAAGGAACUCGUCUCUUUAAAAAUAUAUAUAUUUAAAAAAAAAAAUUCCUAAAGGGAACUCGUCUCUUGAAGAGACGAGUUCCCUUUAGGAAAAAAAAUAUUUUGUUUUUAAAAUAUAUUUUUUAUUUUAAAAAAUCCCAAAUAAAAAAAAAUAAAAAAUAAAAAACAAUUCCAAAGGGAACUCGUCUCUUCAAGAGACGAGUUCCCAUGUAAAAAAAAAUAUUUUUUUAAAAAAUAUAUAUAUUUAAAAAAAAAAAUUCAGAGUUACUUUAGGAAAAAAAAUAUUUUUUUUUUAAAAUAUAUUUUUUAUUUUAAAAAAUCCCAAAUUUAAAAAAAAAAAAACACAAUUCCAAAGGGAACUCGUCUCUUCAAGAGACGAGUUCCCAUGUAAAAAAAAUAUUUUUUUUAAAUAUAUAUAUUAAAAAAAAAAAAACAAUUCCUCAAAAUUCCUAAAGGAACUCGUCUNNNNNNNNNNNNNNNNNNNNNNNNNNNNNNNNNNNNNNNNNNNNNNNNNNNNNNNNNNNNNNNNNNNNNNNNNNNNNNNNNNNNNNNNNNNNNNNNNNNNAAAGGAACUCGUCUUUUGGAAGAGAACGAGUUCCCAUGUAAAAAAAAAAAAAAAUUUUAAAAAAAAUAUAUAUUUAAAAAAAUAAAAAUUCAGGGUUCCCUUUAGGAAAAAAAAUAAUUUUUUUUUAAAAAAAAUAUUUUUUUUUUUAAAAAAUCCCCAAUUAAAAAAAAAAAAAAAAAAAAAAAACCCAAUUCCAAAGGGAACUCGUCUCUUCAAGAGACGAGUUCCCUUGUAAAAAAAAUUAUUAUUUUUAAAUAUAUAUAUAUUAAAAAAAAAAAAAAAAAAAAACAAUUCCUCAAAAUUCCUAAAGGAACUCGUCUCUUCAAGAGACGAGUUCCCAUAUAAAAAAAAAAAUUAAAAAAAAAUAUAUAUUUAAAAAAAUAAAAAUUCAGAGUUCCCUUAGGAAAAAUAAUAAUUUUUUAAAAAAAUAUAUUUUUUAUUUUAAAAAAUCCCAAAUUAAAAAAAAAAAAAAAAAAAAAAAACACAAUUCCAAAGGGAACUCGUCUCUUAUUUUUUUUUUUUCCAUAGGAACUCGUCUCUUCAAUAGACGAGUUCCCUUGAUGAAUUGUUUUUUUUUUUUUUUUUUUUAAAUAUAUUUUUUUAAAAAAAAUUUGUUUUUACGUGGGAACUCAUCUUAAAGAGACGAGUUCCCUUGAGGAAUUGUUUUUUUAUUUUAUUUUAUAUUUUAUUUUAAUAUAUAUAUUUUAAAAUAAAAAAUAUUUUUAAGAGACGAGUUCCUUUGGAAUUGUGUUUUUUUUUUUUUUUUUUAAUUUGGGAUUUUUUAAAUUUUUUAAAAAAAUAAUUUUUUUUCCUAAAGGGAAUUCUGAAUUUUUAAUUUUUUAAAUAUAUAUAUUUAAAAAUUUUUUUUUUUUUAAAAAACAAAAAUUUUUUUUAAAAAAUAUAUAUAUUUAAAAAAAAAUUAUAUUUUUUNNNNNNNNNNNNNNNNNNNNNNNNNNNNNNNNNNNNNNNNNNNNNNNNNNNNNNNNNNNNNNNNNNNNNNNNNNNNNNNNNNNNNNNCGUCUCUUCAAGAGACGAGUUCCCUUUGGAAUUGUGUUUUUUUUUUUUUUUUUUCUUUUUUUUAAUUUGGGAUUUUUUAAAAUAAAAAAUAUUUUUUUUUUCCUAAAGGGAACUCUGAAUUUUUUUUUUAAAUAUAUAUAUAUUUUUUAAAAAAAUAUUUUUAAAAAAAAAAUAUUUUUUUUUGUUUUUUUUUUUUUAAUUUGGGAUUUUUUAAAAUAAAAAAUAUAUUUUAAAAAAAAAAUAUUUUUUUUCCUAAAGGGAACUCGUCUCUUCAAAAAACAAGUUACCUUUAGGAAUUUUUUUUUUAAAUAUAUAUAUUUUAAAAAAAAAAUAUUUUUUUUACAUGGGAACUCGUCUCUUCAAAAGACGAGUUCCUUUUGGAAUUGUGUUUUUUUUUUUUUUUUUUUUAAUUUAGGAUUUUUUAAAAUAAAAAAUAUAUUUUUAAAAAAAAUUAUUUUUUUUCCCAAGGAACUCGUCUCUUGAAGAGACGAGUUCCCUUUAGAAAUUUUUUUUUUUUUUUUUUGGAUUUUUUUAAAUAAAAAAUAUAUUUUAAAUAAAUAAUAUAUUUUUUUUCCCAGGGAACUCGUCUGAAGCCUUUAGUUCCAAAUUUUUUUUUUUAAUUUGAGAAUUUUUUAAAAAUUAUAUAUAUAUAUUUUUUCAUGGAACUCGUCUCUUCAAGAGACGAGUUCCCUUUUUUAAAAAAUUUUACCCGUUCAUCCUCUCUCCUCUCUCCUAUCUCCUCUUUCCUCUCUCCUCUCUCCUCUCUCUCACCCUCUCUCCUCUCUCCUCUCUCCUCUCUCCUAUGUGGCAAAAACUACCCUAUAUUUGUAAUAACUUCUUCCACUACAGUAAUUGAAGAAUAACUUUUUUAAAUUACUCUACUAUUGAGAAAAGUCCGCGUAAAUUGUCAUAGCCCUUUAUUGCAGAGAAUAGUGGAAAAGAAAGUUGUUAAAAGUGGCAUAAGUAAUUCAAACCAUAACCCUAUAUUGAGGAGAGUUAUGACUUAUGACACAUAAAUAUUGAAGUUCCACUUGUCUAUCAAUUAAAUAAAUAUAUGUUUUAAUUUAUUUUUGUAAAAAAAAUCAAUAAGAUUUUUAAUAUUUAUUUUACUAAUUUUAUUUAAAGAACUUAUGAUUUAAAAACGAGUUUAAUAUGAUUUAGAUAAGAAAUAUUUUAAUAUUUAAUAUAAAUUUUAUAAUACUAAUAUUACCUAUUAAAAAUUAAGAUUUUGGUUGCACCAUCAACAUUUAGUUAAAUCUAAAAAUAAAAAACUAUUUCAAACAAAGCUUUAUUUAUUCAUCUAUCAUGCUAAUGGAGCCUCAGAAGUUAAAAAGAUUAACUGGGCCAUGGUUAUAGAAGCCCAAAAGAUUUAUUGAUGGGGCGGAGCAGGUGGGCCUGGCCUGCCAUGUGCAGCUGUAUUUUUUUGACUUGUCUUCAAGACAACAAGUCAACGCCUCCGUUCAAUGAAGCGGAUGUAUCGGAAAAACCCAAAAGCUUCAUUUUCCCCUCAAAACGCGUAAACCCCAAAAUGAGCUUCUUCUGCAACUGCAGCAACCUCUCUACUUCCUUCUGCCUCCUCAUCCUCCCGUUCUUCUUCACCUUCAUCCAUGCAACCACUUUCGAAAUCCAAAACAGCUGCCCCUACACCAUCUGGGCAGCCGCCGUACCCGGCGGCGGAAGGCAACUCGACCAAGGCCAGACCUGGAACCUUUCAGUGAGCUCCAACAUAACGGGCCGCAUCUGGGGCAGAACCAAGUGCAGCUUCGAUGAAGCCGGAAGGGGGAGCUGCGAGUCCGGUGGAUGUGGAGGCCUCCUUGAAUGCCAAGAAUAUGGUUCACCGCCCAACACCAUUGCCGAGUACACCCUAAACCAAUCCAACAAAACUGAUUUAUUCGAUGUUUCUCUGGUGGAUGGAUUCAACCUUCCAAUGGAGUUUAGCCCAACUUCUGAUGGGUGCAGAGGGGCCAAUUGUACAGGCGACAUUAACGGGCCGUGCCCAAAUGAGUUGAGGGACCCGGGUGGGUGUAACAACCCAUGUACCGUUUUCAAAAAUUCUCAGUACUGUUGCGAUUCCGGGAGCUGUGGCCCUACAACUUACUCCGAGUUUUUCAAGGAUAGGUGCCCAAAUGCAUACAGUUACC